RNAcentral lists this ribosomal RNA (537 nucleotides) under Euphydryas gillettii. RNAcentral's name for it is "partial 16S ribosomal RNA". The stretch from base 399 to 537 matches the Rfam family "Archaeal large subunit ribosomal RNA", at positions 2542 to 2680 of the family's 2987-position model. Lineage: Eukaryota; Metazoa; Arthropoda; Insecta; Lepidoptera; Nymphalidae. The record is from RNAcentral.
UCAAAAACAUGUCUUUUUGAAAUUAAUUUAAAGUCUAAUCUGCCCACUGAUAUAAAUAUUAAAGGGCUGCAGUAUAUUGACUGUACAAAGGUAGCAUAAUCAUUAGUCUUUUAAUUGAAGACUUGUAUGAAGGAUUUGAUGAAAUAUGAACUGUCUCUGAUUUAUAAAUAGAAAUUAAUUUUUUAAUUAAAAAGUUAAAAUAUUGUUAAAAGACGAGAAGACCCUAUAGAGUUUUAUAAUUUAUUUAUUUAAUUAAUAAGUAUAUAUUUUAAUUUAAUAAAUAAUUAAAUUAUUAUGUUGGGGUGAUAAAAAAAUUUAAUAAACUUUUUUUAAUUUAAAACAUAAAUAAGUGAUAAAAUGAUCCAUUAUUAAUGAUUAAAAGAAAAAAUUACCUUAGGGAUAACAGCGUAAUAUUUUUUUUUAGUACAAAUAAAAAAAAAAGUUUGCGACCUCGAUGUUGGAUUAAGAUAAAAUUUAAAUGCAAAAGUUUAAAAGUUUUGAUCUGUUCGAUCAUUAAAAUUUUACAUGAUCUGAGCU